GAUGAACGCUGGCGGCGUGCUUAACACAUGCAAGUCGAACGAAGCACUUUAACCUGAUUCUUCGGAUGAAGGUUUUUGUGACUGAGUGGCGGACGGGUGAGUAACGCGUGGGUAACCUGCCUCAUACAGGGGGAUAACAGUUAGAAAUGACUGCUAAUACCGCAUAAGACCACAGAGCCGCAUGGCUCGGUGGGAAAAACUCCGGUGGUAUGAGAUGGACCCGCGUCUGAUUAGGUAGUUGGUGGGGUAACGGCCUACCAAGCCAACGAUCAGUAGCCGACCUGAGAGGGUGACCGGCCAGAUUGGGACUGAGACACGGCCCAAACUCCGACGGGAGGCAGCAGUGGGGAAUAUUGCACAAUGGAGGAAACCCUGAUGCAGCGACGCCGCGUGAGCGAAGAAGUAUUUCGGUAUGUAAAGCUCUAUCAGCAGGGAAGAAAAUGACGGUACCUGACUAAGAAGCACCGGCUAAAUACGUG
This 479-nucleotide ribosomal RNA is filed under the name uncultured bacterium. RNAcentral describes it as "partial 16S ribosomal RNA". It matches the Rfam family "Bacterial small subunit ribosomal RNA", at positions 28 to 507 of the family's 1533-position model. The record is from RNAcentral.